This 452-nucleotide long non-coding RNA is filed under the name Apteryx rowi (Okarito brown kiwi). RNAcentral's name for it is "lncRNA (ENSARWG00000008272.1)". Lineage: Eukaryota; Metazoa; Chordata; Aves; Apterygiformes; Apterygidae. The record is from RNAcentral.
CCGCGGCGGCCUCCCGGAGCCCGGCGCGGUGCCGCCGGGGCCGGGGGAGUGACUUGCGCUCCCUCCGCCUCCCGCGCCUUCAGCCCUCCUCCGGGUAGACGGAGAGGAGGAGGAGGAGGAGGAGGGCGAGUGGUGGGAGGGUCUCCAUUGAAAUAAACAAGCAGGCAGUUAUUAAAACGGGAACAUGGCGGCCGCAGCCCCAGCGUCGGCUUCAUCUCACAAAGCGAAGCACACUUGAGAUGUAUCUGAGCACUGAAGCCCAGCACGCACACAACCUGUAGGACUCUGCCCGCCUCACUGAGGCUUGUUAAGUUAGUGGCCUGCGGGCAUUGUCAGGAUUGGUUUGACAUCUGGACAGUAUUUCUUCCUGAUAAGUAUUAAGUACUUUUUAUUGUGCUUAUUGCUCUGUGUGAAAUGAAUAUAUAUCAAGCUUCACUACUGCCUUGCAAGAU